GCCUGGUAAGGUGGCUAACACCUGUAAUCUCAGCACUUUGGGAGGCCAAGGCAGGUGGAUCGCUUGAGUUCAGGAGUUUGAUACCAGCCUGGGCAACAUGGCGAAACCCCGUCUCUACUAAAAAUACAAAAAUUAGCCAGAAUUUGGCCCCCCGGGCUAAUUUUUUUGUAUUUUUAGUAGAGACGGGGUUUCGCCAUGUUGCCCAGGCUGGUAUCAAACUCCUGAACUCAAGCGAUCCACCUGCCUU
RNAcentral lists this signal recognition particle RNA (247 nucleotides) under Nomascus leucogenys (northern white-cheeked gibbon). Its description in RNAcentral is "Metazoan signal recognition particle RNA". It matches the Rfam family "Metazoan signal recognition particle RNA". Rfam says of the family: The signal recognition particle (SRP) is a universally conserved ribonucleoprotein. The record is from Rfam by way of RNAcentral. Lineage: Eukaryota; Metazoa; Chordata; Mammalia; Primates; Hylobatidae.